ACUCCUACGGGAGGCAGCAGUAGGGAAUCUUCCGCAAUGGACGAAAGUCUGACGGAGCAGCGCCGCGUGAGCGAGGAAGGCCUUCGGGUCGUAAAGCUUUGUUGUUAGGGAAGAACAAGUACCGGAGUAACUGCCGGUACCUUGACGGUACCUAACCAGAAAGCCACGGCUAACUACGUGCCAGCAGCCGCGGUAAU
RNAcentral lists this ribosomal RNA (197 nucleotides) under uncultured Bacillus sp. Its description in RNAcentral is "partial 16S ribosomal RNA". It matches the Rfam family "Bacterial small subunit ribosomal RNA", at positions 335 to 524 of the family's 1533-position model. The record is from RNAcentral. Lineage: Bacteria; Bacillati; Bacillota; Bacilli; Caryophanales; Bacillaceae.